This 72-nucleotide transfer RNA is filed under the name Ancylostoma caninum (dog hookworm). It matches the Rfam family "tRNA". Rfam says of the family: Transfer RNA (tRNA) molecules are approximately 80 nucleotides in length. Their secondary structure includes four short double-helical elements and three loops (D, anti-codon, and T loops). Further hydrogen bonds mediate the characteristic L-shaped molecular structure. tRNAs have two regions of fundamental functional importance: the anti-codon, which is responsible for specific mRNA codon recognition, and the 3' end, to which the tRNAs corresponding amino acid is attached (by aminoacyl-tRNA synthetases). tRNAs cope with the degeneracy of the genetic code in two manners: having more than one tRNA (with a specific anti-codon) for a particular amino acid; and 'wobble' base-pairing, i.e. permitting non-standard base-pairing at the 3rd anti-codon position. The record is from Rfam by way of RNAcentral. Lineage: Eukaryota; Metazoa; Nematoda; Chromadorea; Rhabditida; Ancylostomatidae.
UCCUCGGUAGUAUAGUGGUGACUAUCCGCGUCUGUCACAUGCGAGACCCGGGUUCAAUUCCCGGCCGGAGAG